CAAUGGGGGAAACCCUGGAUGCAGCGCACGCCGCGUGAAGGAAGAAGUAUCUCCGNUAUGUAAACUUCUAUCAGCAGGGNAAGAUAGUGACGGUACCUGCACUAAGAAGCCCCGGCUAACUACGUGCCAGCAGCCGCGGUAAUACGUAGGGGGCAAGCGUUAUCCGGAUUUAUUGGGUUUAAAGGGAGCGUAGGCGGACGCUUAAGUCAGUUGUGAAAGUUUGCGGCUCAACCGUAAAAUUGCAGUUGAUACUGGGUGUCUUGAGUACAGUAGAGGCAGGCGGAAUUCGUGGUGUAGCGGUGAAAUGCUUANAUAUCACGAAGAACUCCGAUUGCGAAGGCAGCCUGCUGGACUGUAACUGACGCUGAUGCUCGAAAGUGUGGGUAUCAAACAGGAUUAGAUACCCUGGUAGUCCAAGGGCGAAUUC
RNAcentral lists this ribosomal RNA (427 nucleotides) under uncultured bacterium. RNAcentral's name for it is "SSU rRNA". It matches the Rfam family "Bacterial small subunit ribosomal RNA", at positions 369 to 808 of the family's 1533-position model. The record is from RNAcentral.